RNAcentral lists this transfer RNA (85 nucleotides) under Felis catus (domestic cat). It matches the Rfam family "tRNA". From Rfam's summary of the family: Transfer RNA (tRNA) molecules are approximately 80 nucleotides in length. Their secondary structure includes four short double-helical elements and three loops (D, anti-codon, and T loops). Further hydrogen bonds mediate the characteristic L-shaped molecular structure. tRNAs have two regions of fundamental functional importance: the anti-codon, which is responsible for specific mRNA codon recognition, and the 3' end, to which the tRNAs corresponding amino acid is attached (by aminoacyl-tRNA synthetases). tRNAs cope with the degeneracy of the genetic code in two manners: having more than one tRNA (with a specific anti-codon) for a particular amino acid; and 'wobble' base-pairing, i.e. permitting non-standard base-pairing at the 3rd anti-codon position. The record is from Rfam by way of RNAcentral. Lineage: Eukaryota; Metazoa; Chordata; Mammalia; Carnivora; Felidae.
GCCUGGGUGGCUCAGUCGGUUGGGCAUCUGACUUCAGCUCAGGUCAUGAUCUCACAGCUUGUGAGUUCGAGCCCUGCAUCAGGCU